UGGGUUGUCAUUGUGGCCACAGCGCUGCACAGGGCGGGGCUGCUGGCCCGGGGACCAGGCUCAGGGUUGGUCAGGGUUACCCCAGGAAACAGGCUCCCCUGGGCACAGAUGGAGGCGAUUAGCGGGAUAGCCCGCGGGACGCUGGGAGCCUCCCCGGAAACCUGUCCUCAGGAAAGGAAGAGCCUGGAGCAUAGUGGUUGCUUCAUCAACAUCAACUGAAAGAAAAACUUAGAGAAUAACCAAUGAAUAAACGAAUGAGUGAAGCUACAGGGAGGUGAAGAAAGAAUAAUGAGGUCCUGCUGGAGAGAGGGAGAUGACAUUGAACAUGGUGUCUCAGGGACAUAGAUGCGCAUCAGAGAAGCCUGUACUGCUAGGAGAAAUGAAGGAAGCCUGGAGGGAAGAGAGCAGUGUUCGCAAUAGAAAGCCACAGCCUGCCCGUUCUGGAGCUGAGCUCGCCGUCCCUGCUCUGCAGAUGAGGAGGACGCCCAGCCUGAGCCCCACUGACUCACAGCCGUGGCCCUCCCCGGAUUGUCCUUCCUCGAGUCAGGGCAGCCAGCAGGAAGAGGAGUCACCGGCUCGCAGCAGUGACUGACCCUGGUCGUCAUCCCUGGGCUGGGCUGCGGUCACCCAUGAGGAAGGACAGAAACCCAUCUGGGACCCUGAAGAGUGCCCCUCUGUGUCCCUGCCCAGCGCAGGGAUGGGUGCAUAAGCGCUGUAACCCCAACCUGAGAAGGGCACGGUCAGCCUCUCCGGGGUCACCGCACCCGGAGAGCGUCCGUGGCCAGCUCGGUGCGGCUGGGGCCAGGAGCCGAGAUCCGCGGUCACAGUGAGAGGGUGAGCACCUGGCCGCCCCCAGAGCUGACCAGCAGUGCCGAGGCCUGCGGUGUGUCCCCCCGCCUCUGCCUUCUGUGGGUCGCAUGGAAGACAGGCCAGGAGUGAACCUGAAUGGGCGGGUAACACAGAGCGGACUACAGAGGACAGGGGCUCACCAGGGCCACUCAUUCCUGGGCUGCCCGCCCCACCGGCUGAGGCUCUGUGGGGCCUGCGCGGUAGGUGAGCCUGUCCCUCUGGGAAAUCCCACUUCCCUCCCUUUGAGUCUCAAGGAACAUCUUGCACCCCCGAUUCUGACUCAGCGUCUGCUUCUGCAGAGCCCCGCCUGGGACUUGCUGGGAGGGGUGCGGUCCCCAGGCAGCUCCUGGGGAGGAGAAGCCAGCAGAUGCUCAGCUGAGAGGCUGAACUUUUAAUAAAUAUUUGUUUAUUUAGUUUUGUAGCACUAGGGAUUGAACCCUGGCCUUCCUCAUUGAGCUGCACAGUCAGCCUCUUUUUUUUUUUGCACCGGGAGUCAAACUCAGGACCUUGCGCUUGCCAGGCAGGUGCU
Long non-coding RNA from Chinchilla lanigera (long-tailed chinchilla), 1378 nucleotides. RefSeq lists it as uncharacterized. The transcript has 3 exons. NCBI's taxonomy places the organism in Eukaryota, Metazoa, Chordata, Mammalia, Rodentia, Chinchillidae. The record is from RefSeq and is a predicted model, not a curated record.